GCCACGAGUGGGGGGUUGGUAGCCACGAGUGGGGGGUUGGUAGCCACGGGUUGUGGAGGGGGAGGAGGAGGAGGAGGAAGGAAGGGGGGUGUUGGGGGUCUCUCUUUGCCUCGUCCCACUGGACACCGAGAUGGAGGUGAUGGGGGAGGAGUAGGAUGCUUCCUGGUUGUUAAUUAGCCCGGCUGUUAAUUGGGGUAGACAGGGAGGGGCUAUCGUGCCGGCUCGACAUCAUUAUAAUUGGUUUUGGUGCUUUCUGGCUGCUAAUUAGCACUGGUUUUAAUUAGCGCAGGCAGGGAGGAGCCAUUGCGCCACCCUGGCACCACCAUAAUCAGUUCUGGUGCCUUCCAGCUGUUAAUUAGCCCGGCUGUUAAUUGGCGUAGUCAGGGAGGAGCUAUCGCGCCAGCCUGGCAUCAUUAUAAUCGGUUCUGGUGCUUUCUGGCUGUUAAUUAGCCCAGCUGUUAAUUGGGAUAGUUAGGGAGGAGCUAUCGUGCCAGCCUGGCAUCAUUAUAAUCAUAUCUGGUGCCUUCUGGCUGCUAAUUAGCCCGGCUGUUAAUUGGGAGAGUCAGGGAGGGGCUAUCGUGCCAGCUCGACAUCAUUAUAAUCGGUUCUGGUGCUUUCUGGCUGCUAAUUAGUGCUGGUUUUAAUUAGCAUAGCUAGGGAGGAGCCAUCGCGCCAGCCUGGCACCACCAUAAUUAGUUCUGGUGCCUUCUGGCUGUUAAUUAGCGCUGGUUUUAAUUAAUGGAGGUAGUAACAAGACCUAGUGCCAGCCUGGCAUCACUAUAAUCAUAUCUGGUGCCUUCUGGCUGUUAAUUAGCCCGGCUGUUAAUUAGCCCGGCUGUUAAUUGGUGUAGUUAGGGAGGAGCUAUCGUGCCAGCCCGGCAUCACUAUAAUCAGUUCUGGUGCCUUUUGGUUGUUAAUUAGCACUGGUUUUAAUUAGCACAGCCAGGGAGGAGCCAUCACGCCACCCUGGCAUCACUGUAAUCAGUUCUGGUGCCUUUCGGUUGCUAAUUAGUGCUGGUUUUAAUUAAUGCAGCAACUAAUGAGACCUAUUGCCAGCCUGGCACCACCAUAAUCGGUUCUGGUGCCUUCCGGCUGUUAAUUAUCCCGGCUGUUAAUUAGCACAGGUGGUGGGAUGAGCCAUCGAGCCACCCUGGCAUCACCAAAUUUAGUGCUUCUGGCUGUUAAUUAGCCCAGCUGUUAAUUAGGAUAGUUAGAGAGGAGCUAUCGUGCUAGCUCGGCAUCACCAUAAUCAGUUCUGGUGGCUUUCGGUUGCUAAUUAGCACUGGUUUUAAUUAAUGCAGCCACUAAUGAGAGCUAGUGCCAGCCUGGCACCACCAUAAUCAGUUCUGGUGCCUUCUGGCUGCUAAUUAGCCCGGCUGUUAAUUAGUGCAGCCAGUAACGAGCCAUCGUGUCAGCUCUGCUGCCUUCGGGGUGAGCUGUUAAUUAGUCCUGCUCUUAAUUAGCGCAGCCAGUGA
RNAcentral lists this long non-coding RNA (1475 nucleotides) under Calidris pugnax (ruff). Its description in RNAcentral is "lncRNA (ENSCPUG00000000109.1)". The record is from RNAcentral. Lineage: Eukaryota; Metazoa; Chordata; Aves; Charadriiformes; Scolopacidae.